This 6870-nucleotide long non-coding RNA is filed under the name Sus scrofa (pig). Its description in RNAcentral is "lncRNA (ENSSSCG00000057117.1)". Lineage: Eukaryota; Metazoa; Chordata; Mammalia; Artiodactyla; Suidae. The record is from RNAcentral.
UCCAGCUGAAAAAGAGUUUAGCAUGGCUCCUUCUGGCUCAGUCAGACGGUCAGCUCCUUGAAAGGAGCUGCCCCCAAAGGUGAAUGAAUCUCCAAAUGGAGCUUUACAUGUGGUGAUACACAGGGUGUUCUCAGAACAAGGCUAGUCACCAAAUGGGGAGCUGGAUUAAAUUGGUUGAGGUUUUCUUCUCUGGUUAUGCUUUGGUAGGUAGAACAAAGAGAGAAAAAGAAAGAAUCCCAAUGGGUAGAACACAAGAGUAUGAGUGUGGAGUUCGGGGAUCUGCCCUCCAUUUGUGUAGGUCCCUGGACAAUUCCUUUAAUCUCAGUGUAUUUGAUUUUACCAUAAAUAGAACUAAGACUCUACAUACUUUCUAAGAUGUUUUCCAUUAAAUAUGACAGACAAAAUUAUAAAGGUUAAGUAGAGAGGAAAAAAAGUCUCUACUUGAGCAUUAUCUUCUCUAACAACUUAGGUUUAUCUUCCUAUUUUCUCUGUAGUCAGUAUGCAGAGUCACAUAGAUGCAAUUUCUAGAGAUGAACAUUUUUGUGGGAAAAAAACCACUGACAAGCAAAACUUAGGGGCCAGGGCACUAUCAUGACAAAGCAGCCCGACAAACCCAUCUAGUCAAUGCUUUAUUUCUUACUAUUGACUCCAAAGUUGGGUGUUGAGUGAGUACACCAGAGUGGAGAAGCAGCCAGCUUAGGACCCAGGCUUAGUUUGUAUGAGUGAGUGUUGGAAUAUUUAGGAAUAACCAACAUGAAACCUGGACAGAAGAUAAGUUUCAAGCUUUUAGACAAAAUAGAGUUAGUGUAUAAGGGAUUAAUGCUGUAAUUUAUGAAUGAAAGUGUGACUUUCCUGCUAGUCUGUGGGUUGCAUGAGAAUGGGUGCCACAUCAAUGUUCCCCAAGGUUUCCUUAGUUCUAACACAAUGUGAUAAAAUAUAACUCCCAUUGGGAGAGAGUCAAGAGAGCAGAAUUCAAGAGGCUCAAAUUAGGCUAGAGAAACCUAGGUCAAAUAAGAGGAACAUAGAAAAAAGAGAUAUGACCCAGAAACUGGAAGAUGUCAGUAGACACAAGUCAGAGCAGAAGAUACUCACUGGGUAUCUGGAACAGAGGAAGACUGAGUGGCCGUAGCAGAAAUCAGAAGUGCAGAAUGAGCAUCAGAUGUACAAGAGAAGAUGCUAAGACUGGAGGCAGAGGCAAACUCAGAUCCAAACACCUGAGCUCAUAAGUUUAAGGGAAAGUGCUUUGAUCUGAGCCUUAGAGAGAGGAUUUAAAAAAAAAAAUAACACGGGCCUAGAUUCCUAGUCCAAGUUUUCCUGAUUCUAAAGGACCCAGGAUCCUUUACAAGUAAUUUAAAAUUUUAAAUCUACAUUGCUUUAAGUAAUUAAAAAUUGUCAGUUAAACCAAAGGAGGAGGGAAGGGAGGAAGAAGAAGAAAAGAAGAAGAAAAAGAAAAGGAAGGAGGAGAAGAAGGGAAGGAAAGGGAACAGAAGAAUCUGUCACAGCUGGACAGGGUCUGACCAGCCAUGACAAAGCAAAACUAAGCAGUAAUCCAAAGAGACAUACAAAAACCAAGAGAAUUAAGUAUUCUAGUAUAGCUUGGAGAUUCUAGGCACCUGCUGGAAGAUCCUGACACCACCAGUCUUGAAAGCAAUGCCAUCUCCUGAACUUUUUCAUGUUCUGCCUAUCGGUUGCAAAUCACAGUUUUAAAAGUAGCAGUAAUGUUGUAGCAAAGCUAUGAGCAUUGUUAUUAUAUAGUGAAAAAAUGUUUAAACUUGGAAAAAUAGCAUAUUUGAAAAUGUUUAUUUUAAACACACACACACAUAUAAACUUCGCUAAACUUUUAUUUCCUAAAUUUAUGAAAACCAACUAAAUUCUUUUGGUGGACUUUUUAGCUAAAAAGUAAAUCUACACAUCCUGUACUAUGUUGAAUAAGUAAGGAAUGUUUCAAUCUAAACCUGUUGACUUUUUCUCUUCUAAAUAAAUAGCUACUAUUAAUAAUUCAGUUGUCCAAAUGAGAGAAAAACAUAAAUUCAAGCCACUCUUCAAUGACUUUAGAUGAUGUCACUAAGCCAUGCUUUGACUGUGAUUCAUUUCAUGACUAAAAUCCAUUGAGACUGAUUGUUUCUCAUCAUCAUCUGGUCUUUGGAGGGAUGGUGGAUGUCUUCUACAGGAGACAGUAGAUCAAUGGCCAAAAGCCAAUAGAAACAAACAGAUGUUGUAGUUACCAAGUUGGAAAAGGAAUACUUGGAUUUGCUUCCAAAAGUCUCUUGUCAGAAUUGUGGAAAAGAGGAAACCCAUAGUUGAUGCUCUACCUCGCAUUUGAUGGAAAACAUUCAGAUGCAUUUGUCUAAACUCAUCAAAGAACUUUGGCAAGUUGGUCUUUCCAAUAAAUAUAAACCAAAAAAUGCGUAAAUUUAAACCCCUAUGUACAGUAAUUCCCACCAACCUCCAAAUGUAUUUUCUUAGAAAUGUGUGUGAAAAACUGAAGCAAAUCCUACACAUAAGCAAAAAUUUACCUUAUGCUAGAAUAUGGGAGCAUUAACAAGAAGGAAUGAGCAAGAAUUUAUUUUUGCUGAGCAAGUUCAUCUAUGGAAAUGUCAGAUAUGUGUUCUUCUAAAAGAUUAAGGGAGAAAGAUUGUCUUCCCAUUAUAAGAAAAAGGGAAGGGGACUGACCAGUGUGUUUCUGUAUGAAUUUCUAAACCAAAAAUCACCUUAUACAUGAAAAUGAAAGGGUUUUAUUUGAAAUACUAUGGAAUUAGAACCUGUCCACUAGCCAUGGACCUUGAAGAUGUCCCUGGUGUGUGAAUAGAGAGAAGGGGGGGGUCUAUUAAUUGUGGACUAUUGGUACCAAUAAGCCAAAAGUAAGGGGAGAAGAGGUGUUACCUACUUCCCCAAAGUACUUUAAGGCCAGAAAUAUGUGAAUAAAGUCAAGUGGGAAUGGACAAUAACAACCAGACAAGGCAGAGUUCCUGGCCACUUUUCAGAAUGCAGAUUUCCUGGUAUAAAUAGUCCUGAAGAAUGCAAAGUUUGCCUACCACAUAUGUGUGGUAGGCAAAAUUCUGAGUUAACUCCCCACUCCAAAAUGACCUGUGCCCUCAUCAAACCUGUUCCCUUGAGUGCAAGCUGAAACUGUGCACAGGAUGAGCUAUCACACCUAUGAUCAUGUUAACAUGAUACCACCAAAGGAGAUAAUCCAGGUUAGCAUACUUUUAAAGCACAAUCCCUUGAAGAUGGAAGAGGCCACAUAGAAGAUCCUAGGGAAGCCCUCCCUUGCUGAUAGCUAGCAGACAAUUGUGCUCAUCCUAUACCUGCAAGGAAAUGGAUUCUGCUUGCAACAAAUGAAUUCAGUAGAGAUCCCAAGGCUCAAAUGAGGACUGCAGUCCUGUGAGACCCUGAGAAGAGACCCUAGUUGCACUACAAUUAGGCUUCUGAUUUUCACAACUAUGAGACGAUAAAUGGGUGUUGUUUUAAGCCACUAAAUUGUCAUACUCUGUUCUACAUCAAUAGAAAAUGCUUACAAAUUGAUAGCUAUAUUUGCUGCAUCAGUAUGACUAAUAUGGAAAAAAAAAUCUCCUUACAUAGUGGAUGUAAAUCAUAUAAGUCUGCCAAACUCAGAGAUUCUGUGUUUUUAAUAACAACCUUCUCUGAUUGUGCAUCAUGUUAGUCACUGUUUAAAAAUAAUCCCUUUAAUUGAACAGAUGACAUACUUAGUUUGUAUCUAUGAGAUGUUUCUUCCUAGAAACUGUUUAAAAUCCAUAAAAGAUGUUUCAGAAUUUUUUUUAGUAAUCAGAAUCACUUUGCAUUAUUAUACCAUAGAGAGUUUAUAUUAAAUUUUAGAAAAUUUAUAGCACUUUAUGGGAAAUAUUUUUACUUUGGUGAUCCAAAUCUGCGUGCAAAGGUAGUUCAAAUCAUAUGUUCACUUAAUGUGAACUUUGAGUGUUUUCCAACAUGAGAAUUUGAUCCAAUGUCCGUAAUUUCACAAGAUAUAAAUCUGGUAGCCAUAGAAUGGAAAACCAACAGGGCCAGGCACAUAAACCAUGAGCAGUGAAGAGGUAUGUCUCCAUUUGUUCUCUGUAUUCCCCUAUUCCUCCCCCAAACAAAUCUUGUUUUACUUACAUCUGUUCUUUUUUUUUUAAAUUUUUUCUGUUUGAAAUAACUAGUACCUAUAGUAAACUACCACAUAUGGUAACAAAAACCCUAUCAACUUAAGAUCAUAUUUAAUACUGAUAUUUUAGUAUGUUUAAUUGAAGCAAAUGAGUCACAAACCACAAAUUAAACAACCCCUCUUCUGGGUGAAAAGUCUCUCUCAAAUAUUUAAAAGAAACUCUUCAUGCAAAACUGUAAUGAGCAGGAAAAAAGUAUUCUUCCCCUGUGGAAUGAGCCUAUUUGGCACUUUAAAAAAAAAAAAACUUGAACUGUAACAGUUUUUAGUUGUAGUUCUAUUGCAAUUUGUAUCACAAAUAUUGAUUCUGAAGGCCAAAAACAAAUCUGGUAAAAUAUUAGAAACACCACACAUUACAUCUGGAAAACAAUUAAAACAGCAUCCCAGGUAUGCUUAAAUGGGAUGCCAUGGCAUAGAAGAAAUAUUAAAUGAAAUUGUAUAUAUUAAAAACUUGAGAGACUCUUUGCCACUAUUAGGAACAGGCAAGUAUAUCCAAGAAAAUGAGUUAAUAUAUUUAAAAGACUUAGAACGAUGCUGAACUGUUCAGCACUUAUUAUUACUAUAAUUAUGAUUAUCAUCAUUAUUAAGUGUACUCUGGGACAUCAUCUGACUUUGGACAUCAUUUGAUCUUUGUUAUCGACCACAGGGGUUCCAGGUGCAUUUUCAAGGACAAGUUUAUGAUAAUAGAAUUGAAGGGAUUAAAGGAGUAUAAAUAAUUCCAAAACAAAUCAGAAAUAGCCACAGCACAGUUAUUAUUGCUUAGGUGUCUAGAAAAUUAUUCAUGGUAUUCCCUACUUACUUGUCAUGGUUCAUUGCCAUGUCCGCUCAGAUCUAUUCACUUCUGACUGGCACUGAGGCAACACUUGUUACACUCACGCCUGCAGCCUCUCUGGCAGUUCAUUGUUGUUAUGAGUCCUCUUCCCUCUUUCUCAUAGUUGGCUUGCCAUUCAGCAGCACUGUUCAUGAGCCUCUUGAUUUACCAUUUUGUCCCACAGACAGCACAGGACGAUUACUCAGUGGGAAAGAGAGACCCAUUGUUCCCAUUCAUCAUCAUUUGAUGAACACCUGGGAAGGCAUCCAGGAUGCCCUAAGACAUUGAUUUUAAAAUAUUGUGCUCAACGAGCUCUUGUGCAACCAGUGUAUUGAAUGGACCAAAGAGUGGAAGAAGGAAAGAUUUUUAUUUUUUCACUCAGCUGUCUUCAAACUCAUUCUGUCAUAUUUUCCUUCCUUUUCUCUUGCCCAUAAAUUAAGCAGAUUCCAUAGCUUUCCGAUUAAUUUCAGGCUUUAAAACUGUCUCCUUUUCCAUCUCCUUUCCAGUCUAAUCUAAGUCGAAGCAACCAUUUUUUACCCGAUUUUUAAGCUUCUCCUCUCCACCCUCAUUGUAUUUGGAAGCAAGGACAUGGCUUGAUCUUUCACUAUGUCUCCACCUGUUCUUUCAUCUUCAUCCCUAACUCACUAUGCUUUUUCUGGCUCAUCCAAACCAGAGAGGGGAAGAGGGUGGACAUUAAAAGGGAAAUUCUAUUUUUAAUGAGUAGGUACUAUAUGGAGUUCCCUCUCUCAGUUGGUGGAAACCCUCUGUCAUGGAAGAUGCCCAGACUUUGGCUCCCUCACACAAGUGACGUUUUGGAGGGUCUCACCUUAGAAACCUUCAACAUUACACCAUUUACAAAAGCAGGCGAUAUUCCCUUUGGAUAACUUCCCAUUCCUGAUGGUAGCCCAUAAACCUCUCCCUGUGGUUCACCUUGCUCUGCCAGGUGUUGUCUCCACAGGGCUCUGCUCUGGCUCCUCCCACAGUCCCGCUCUGGUUCAAAGAAACACAGUCCUGCCCUCCCACUGGUGGAGUUAAUUGCUCCAACUAUAGUCUUUCUCCCACACUGGAUUUUCAGCAGGAAGCCCAGGCAGCUUCUCAUGUUUUAGAUUAUUCUAGAUGAAAAUCAGACAUAUGACUGCUGUCUAUUGAAACCAGGGUAAAUGGAUCAACAAUACCCAAGAACUUGCUAAUCCACUCUACCUUGGUACCUACUCAUUUCUGCAGGUCAGCCAGUAACCAACCAGGGAGAAGAAAUGUUCAGUUUCCCCUCCCCCUAAGACUCCCUUCACCCUUGAAGAAGAAAUUUAACUUGAGUCAGAGAAAAACAGCUCCCUCCUGACUAGACAAGAAUCCUUUUAGACCAUCUUUCUCCUCUGUCAGACCCCUCUGCUCCAAAUUUAUCAUCUUGUAUAACAAGGGCUAAGGAUCAUAAGAUCAUUUUAAUUUCCUUUUAGCAGUCCUAUGGAAAUGUCUGUGUUGGUCUCAACAACAAGAAACCACUUAAAAUCCACUGAUUCCAGCUUUGAAGACCAAUGACACUCUGUGAAAACAGGAAGGUCAUAUUUAACAUAUGGUGCUCUAGAAUUAUACAAGAAUAAAUACAUAGUGUUUGUGGGUUCUCUUAACCUAACAAUUAGUUUAAACUUUAUUAAGAAUAGGCCUGGAGUUCCUGUCUUGGUUCAACAGUAAUGAGCCUGACUAGUAUCCAUGAGGAUGUGGGUUUGGUCCCUGGCCUUGCUCAGUGGAUUAAGGAUCUGGCAUUGCCGGGAGCUGUGGUAUAGGUUGUAGACUCAACUUGGAUCCCAUGUUGCUGUGGGUGUGGUGUAGGCCAGCAGCUGCAACUCCAAUUCAACCCCUAGUCUGGAAACUUCCAUAUGCCAUGGGUGUGGCCAUUUAG